Molecule: long non-coding RNA, 2028 nt
Organism: Rana temporaria (common frog)
Lineage: Eukaryota; Metazoa; Chordata; Amphibia; Anura; Ranidae
Exons: 2
Source: RefSeq, a predicted model, not a curated record
AAAUAUAGGGGUCUGAUAAUAUAGAUAUAUAAUAUAGACGUUCACUUUAAGGAUUGAUAAUGCACUUUUGUUUGCUUUUUCACAGAUGUUCACAGCUUCUUCGUUUUGUCCUUGGGAAUCAGACAGAAGACUGAUAAGACCAGUUGAAAAUAGACUUUCUAUUAAACCAGUUUGAACUGACCAAAGACUCAUGGAUAAGGUUUUUCUGCCAGUCACGUGAUGUAACCCCCCAUUUAACUGUUCCCAUGCUAUAAAGAAGAUAUGGACUUUGAUUGGACUAAAACUAUACGAUCACACCUUUAUCACGCCUACAAUACAGUUGAUACAUACCCAUAUCUUAUGAAUAUUCAUAUGUAUAAAUUGUUUUCCCCUGUAGUUGUAAGCUCAGAAACACUUUCACUUUUACUCGCUUAUAGUAGCCGAGAUCUGUGUUGUCUUUCUCCAUUGCAAUGUCUUAAUUAAAGCACCUUAUUAUCUUAUCUACCAUCUUAUCUGAUCGUCUUAAUUAAGACCCCCAAAUUGGAUUUAACAGCUGGUGCCUGUGACUCGGAUUCAGUUCCGUUGGACUUCCGACCAAAGAGACGGGAAACCCAUGGUGGGCAGAACCAGUGGCCACGAUCAAGAAAUUGGAACACAUGAUUUACAGCCAGAUGAUUGGGUCCUAAUAAAAGAAUAUGUGAAAGUACCUUUGAGACCAAAGUCUGAAGGACCCUACCAAGUGUUCCUGACAACUGCUACAGCUGUAAAGUGAUGUGGAUACAUGCCAGCCAUUGCAAGAAAGUACAGCUAAUUUCAAAAGAUGAGUAAACUACUGUUAUGCCUUUGCUUGAUCUUAGUCAAGGCUAUAGAGGAAAAUCACCUGUACAAAUUACACAUGCUGACAGGCAUAAGGAGCCAUUUUAGUAAUUGCUAGAUAUGUUCACAUAGGCCAGACAGUUGAAGAAAAAAAAAAGCACACACCUAGUACUCGUUUACUUUCAUUUUGAGUUUAAGCAAUACAAGGCUGCCCAAACUAGUAUGUCAAGAAUAUCACAAAUGUUGUAUUAUUGUGAAAAUACAUUACAUAUAUUUAUGCUAAAUAUAACUUGAGGCCUUUUGGAAUACCUCCUUGUUUAGUAGGGAAAAGAGGUAUACAAUGUGACAUUAUGAUAGGAAAUAUGAAAAACUCAGAUGACACUGUUUAGAUAUGGUAAAUUCUCAUGGCUUCAACAGAUAUGUUUUUGUCCUCAUAGGAAUUAUCGUUAGAGGAUUGCUUGUUUAUUUUUUAUUUUUUUUCAGGUGCGCUAAAUGUGAAAUACAAUGACAGUUAGAUCUGAGGGAGAUGACCCCCAAGGAAGAAAUAGAGUGUUUUCAGAUUGUCAGAUUAGCAAAUUUGUAUGAUACCAAGUUGGGUGAUACGAAUGAGUAAAGAUAUGUAUCCACAUACACCCUAAGAAGAGCUUUACUCCACAUAGAUGUGAAGUAGUACUGUGGACCCUUUGGUGUCAUACUAGGUAGGGAAGAUAUGGUAGUGACCCCAACAUGGGGGCCAAGAGGAGGGAAAUGAGUAAAAUAUAGGGGUCUGAUAAUAUAGAUAUAUAAUAUAGACGUUCACUUUAAGGAUUGAUAAUGCACUUUUGUUUGCUUUUUCACAGAUGUUCACAGCUUCUUCGUUUUGUCCUUGGGAAUCAGACAGAAGACUGAUAAGACCAGUUGAAAAUAGACUUUCUAUUAAACCAGUUUGAACUGACCAAAGACUCAUGGAUAAGGUUUUUCUGCCAGUCACGUGAUGUAACCCCCCAUUUAACUGUUCCCAUGCUAUAAAGAAGAUAUGGACUUUGAUUGGACUAAAACUAUACGAUCACACCUUUAUCACGCCUACAAUACAGUUGAUACAUACCCAUAUCUUAUGAAUAUUCAUAUGUAUAAAUUGUUUUCCCCUGUAGUUGUAAGCUCAGAAACACUUUCACUUUUACUCGCUUAUAGUAGCCGAGAUCUGUGUUGUCUUUCUCCAUUGCAAUGUCUUAAUUAAAGCACCUUAUUAUCUUA